AGAAAAUGGAAGUGGAAUAGAUGACAGAAUGGAUAUGGAUCAUAAUUUAGGUUCUGUUCUGCAGCCCCUGCCUUCACAACCUGCUUCUACAGGGCGUAAGCCUAAAUUGGACACAGAUGACCAUCAGAAAGCUACAGAGCCAAGACGUGAUUCAGCCACACUCUCCAGCACAGGUGAAGAGAAGGGCAAUCGUGGAGAGAAAGAAAUCAAGGGUAGUAUUGGGUCUGGAUAUCCUGGCCCCAAAGGUGAUCGUGGGCCUCCAGGACCACCUGGACCAGCUGGACCCCAGGGUCCAGUAACAGAAGUGAAAAGCACAGGGGAUAUAAAGGUGGAGAGGGUAC
RNAcentral lists this long non-coding RNA (341 nucleotides) under Sinocyclocheilus anshuiensis. Its description in RNAcentral is "lncRNA (ENSSANG00000009088.1)". Lineage: Eukaryota; Metazoa; Chordata; Actinopteri; Cypriniformes; Cyprinidae. The record is from RNAcentral.